RNAcentral lists this long non-coding RNA (4880 nucleotides) under Homo sapiens (human). Its description in RNAcentral is "HSALNT0056852". The record is from RNAcentral. Lineage: Eukaryota; Metazoa; Chordata; Mammalia; Primates; Hominidae.
CAAGUAACCAAUGGAAAUUUCAGAGGAAAUUUAAACCCCAGAAAAUUCUGUAACUGGGCUCUUGAGCCACUUGCUGGGGCCUGCUGCCGCCCUGUGGAGUGUGCUUUCGUUUUCAAUAAAUCUCUGCUUUCGUUCCUUCAUGCUUUCCUUGCUUUGUGUGUUCAUUUUGUCCAAAUCUUUGUUCAAGACGCCAAGAACCUGGACACCCUCCACCGGUAACAUAUUUUGGCGAGCCAGACAAGAGGUAAAGAAAGCUUUUUAUGGUUCACUAAGGACAAUCAACCCCUUCGCAAUCUAGAACCAAAAGACUGGAUCUUCUGAGAACAUCUACUUAGUAUGAUGCCUCUGGCUUCCCUCUAUCACACGUCUUCUUUUCGAGUAAAGGUUUUUCAUAAAUGUGAGCGUGGAAGAAGAAACCAGAUGGUGUCAGAAGCGGAUCCGAAGUGGAACUUUUAGUGACCCUCAGGAGCACUGAAUGAACAUGCAAGGAACCUGCAGGACCCACUUGUGUCCAUUGAUCUCUGGGAGCAGCUGGGAUAAGCUCCUUUUCGGAUUUCAGAGCUCCAUGGACUUGUGUCUUGAGAUCCCUGAGUUUCUUUGAGCAAAUUUCUGAUCCAAAAUGGGUUUGGCAUCAUGGCAGAAACAGGACUGGGUCCACGAAUGGAUUUGAUCCAGGAAUGAACUGGCUUGGAUCCAGUCAGAGGUCUCUUACAUCUGACUGGGAUGGUGUGGCAAGCUGAGUCACUAAGGCUGCUCAGGGAAAGGGAACCCAGAAUCUUGGCAUGCCGGCAAAAGGCCCAUGGUUCACUGAGGACAACUCCUUUGCAAUCUAGAACCCAAAGAUUGGAUCUUCUGAGAACAUCAGAGAAAGACUGUCCUUGCCAUCCACACUACAGCAAAGCUUUGGAGCCUUGAACCUUGGGUUCAUGAUCUUACAACUGAGAAGGGCCCCUCCACACUCCUGAACUGUACAACCAUUGAAACUCUUAAGGUAAAAUUAACUAGGAAAGUUUAUCUCCUUAAGAAGAUGGCAUCCUUGAUGUGAACAGCUUUUCCCAAGAUCCUGGAUCAAAACGUCUACUAUCACGAGACUCUUAUAUUUGAAUAUAUUUUCCGGUUUAUGCCUUUAGGAACAAUUGAAAUGAAAGGGGGAUCUAUUAUGUGCACUUAUAGGGUAUACUUUUAUUUGUGAAGGAUUUUGCAUCCAGCCUUAUAUGAAUAACCUUGUACUUUAAUAGAUAAAAGAUGAAGGCUCAAUGUAGGUGAGAAAAUGUAGUGGUACAUAUGUUGCCUCAUAAUCAGUCAAAACUCUUCUUAACCCACAUAAUGGAUUAAAGAGAAUAUUGCCAGGAGGCCUUCGCUUUUCUAAAAUGACAUCAUUUGUUAGGUCCUUUUUCCAUAGUUUAGUAUAAAAGAGGCAAUAAUUAGAAAUGUCACCCUCAUAAUAGGCUCUACAGCAAAUUCUACUUUAAAGGCUAUUGUUACACAACAGACUUUAAAUUAUCUUGUAAAAGUUAUGCUAAAUAAUAGAAUUGGCCAAACAGAAAAGUACCUGUGCAGUUGCUGACACCUGUGGCCUAUGGAGAAAUACAUCAAAUGUAGAUUAUACAAUUUCAGUUGUAGGGGAUUAAUGAAAAGACCACCUAGUCAAGCAAGUAGGCUCUUCAUAUAGCUCAUUCUUUAAUCUAUUUAAUUUUACAUGGUUUGGUUUAUGGGGACCCUGGGUAAGGAGCACACUCCAAAUUUGUUAUUAUUCUCCCAGUACUCAUAAUGAUAGUCUCCCUGAUGUGCUAUAUUCUCUUAAAGGUUUUAAAUGUUUGCAUGCAGCCAUCUCUAGAACAUCAAAUGGUCUCUAUUCAACCAGAAUGACAAAAGCUGAAAGAAAUGUGUGACCCUGAGGAUAUCGUAACCUACGAAUGAUGUGCUGAGACUGGAAACCCUAAAUGAUGUUACUGAGAAUGGCACUAAGGCCUUAAGUUUUGGUCACACUGUCACCUAAGUGAGAACCUGGCUGAAAAGGGAGAAUUUUUAAACAACAAAAUUAGAGGAAGCCACUAUUUUGGACUGAGCUCAUGCACUAGGCCCCAACAAACGAAACCAAGCUAAAAUGGAGUCACUCAUCCUAAAUGUGACAUAAUCAAACCAAGGCUUUAAGAACACAGAUAGAUGCUAGAACAGACUACAUUUUGUUUUUCUCCUGUAAACAGGAUGUCUAUCAUAAGGAGGUACCGUCUACUCAGUCCUUAUUCUCUCCUUGCAAAACCCACUUUUCUACUGUUUCCCAGUGGGUUUCAAACCAUAUAAUACAUUUAUGAUAGUGAUAUUAACAUCAAUGACUAAGGUUUUGGUCAAUCUCUCAAAAUUGAGAAAAUGACCAAAAGAGGGAAAUGAUUGCUAAAGCAAACUAAAUAUGGCCUGGGAAGAACUCCAUAGUCUUAUAUUUGAGUUCUUGCAGAUGAACUGUAACUUAGCUUAAUAGUCAGACAAAACUGAAAACCUAACUUAAUAGUAUGCGUCUGUAACAAUGGCUGAGUGUUCGCUAAUCCCAGCGGCCAUACUUCAACCACUCAUAGACUGCUGAAAGUUCAAAGUGCAUUCAAAUAAGGCAAAAACGGAGCUUAACCAGCCUCACUGUUUCUGUAUCUCACUUCCGAUUCCUGUAUGUCACUUUACCUUUUUUGUCUAUAAAUGUGUUCUGACCACGAGGCACCCCAGGUCUCUGUGAAUCUGUUGUAAUUCUGGAGGUGCCUGAUUCGCCAAUCAUUCAUUGCUCAAUUAAACUCCUUUAAAUUUAACUCAGCUGGACUUUUCCUUUUAUCAGGUUGAAUUUUACAUAUCUACUUUAGAUUUUAAUUUCUUCUAUAAAUUAAAAUCUAAUCUUCCAUAAUUUCUGAUAAAAUGUUUGUUAAAUGAACUCAAUGCAUUGGACAAAAAUUUCCUGUUGCUUUUCUUUCAAAGUACAUAAAUUGAUGCUACUUUUUCCACCUUUCUCACAUUUUCUCUGUCCCAAUCUUACACUGGAGGUUCAAUAGUCUUCUUCAUGCCUCAAGUUCUUUCUCUUGUAAUAUGAAAGGCAUGUGGCCACUUUCCUUUUCUAAUUCUUUCAUAAAUCUAAACAUUUUCACUACCUAUUGGUUACUAUGCUCACCAUCUGGGUGAAGGCAUCAUUUGUACACAAAAUCUAUAAAAUAUACUAUUUACUUAUGUAAAAAACCUAAACAUGUACCUGCUGAACCUAAAAUAAAAGUUGAAAAAGAAAAAUAAAUAAAUAAUACCUUCCCAGAAUAUUGCCUAUAGGAACAAGUCUAAAUUCCUUAAUACAGAGUAAAAUGGUAAUAAAAUUCUUGCCCUGAUUUUCUUUCUUAGGCCUAUGUCAUUUCAACACUCCCCAUCACCAUUCUUCCCCAAUCUCUUCCAUUUUUUGAGUCUAAAAUCCUUAAUACAUUGAAUUUUUGUUCAAUAUUUGUUAUAUGCCCAAAACUAUGCUAAGCUGCUGGACUCGUGCUCUUUCACAAUUCCUUUUCUGUUCCUUUCAGACUAGUGAAAUGAUACUGAUUUUUAAUGAUCUGUCUUUUCUUGGAAAUUUCCUAUUUCCAAAUGUCAAAAAAAGAACUUAUAAUUUUUGUCUCUCCAUUUCCAUAACACUUAUCAAUGUCACUGACAUAGCCCUAAUAAUUAUGAGAUGUACAUUGUUAGUUACACACAUUUCUUGUUUUCCUACUUUUGAUGUCUUUAAGGUCAGAGAUUGUAUUUUACUCGUUUGUAUUCCUAUCAGAAAAAAAACUGUGGCUUACAUGUAAUAUACAUUCAGUAAUUGUUUGAAUGAAAAAUGUAUUAAAAUAGUAUGAGUAUCCAAGUUGGUGAUUCAAUUUAGUUAAUCUCUUCUGAUACCCCUACCCCAAAAAGGCAUAUGUAAAAGUGCAUAAAAUUGUGUGUAUGAAUAUGUAGAUCAAUAGAUAGAAGCAUCUGUGAACACAAAUAAGAAAUUUAGGAAAUGAUUAUCUUAGAAACUCUUUAGCAUCAAAUCUUAUUUAUUUAUUUAUUUAUUUGCUAUAGCUUUUGGGGAAAAGUUGGAUUUUUGUUACAUGGAUAAGUUCUCUUGUAGUAAUUCCUGAGAUUUUGGUGCACACUGUACCCAAUCUGUAUUCUUUAUUCCUCACCCCUCUCCCCGCAUUCCCCUUGAGUCUCUGAAGUCCCUUAUAUCAUUCUUACGCCUUUGCAGCCUCAUAACUUAGCUCCCACUUAUAAGUGAGAUCAUACAAAAUUUGGUUUUCCAUUCCUGAGUUACUUCACUUAGAAUAACUGUUUCCAGCUCCAUCCAGGUUGCUGAAAAUGCCAUUAUUUCAUUCAUUUUUAUGGCUGAGUAGUAUUCCAUGGUGUAUAUAUGCCACCUUUUCUUUAUUUACUCUUUGGCCAGUGGACAUUUAGGCUGAUUUCAUAUUUUUGCAAUUGUGAAUUUUGCUACUAUACACAUGUAUGUGCAAGUGUAUUUUUCAUACAAUGACUUCUUUUCCUCUGGGUAGAGACCCAGUAGUGCGAUUGCUGGAUGAAAUGCUAGUUCUACUUCUAGUUAUUUAAGGAAUCUCCAUACUGUUUUCCAUAUGGGUGGUACUAGUUUACAUUCCCAACAGCAGUAUAAAAGUGUUCCCUUUUCACCAUAUUCACGCUAAUAUUUAUUAUUUUUUAUUUUUAAUUAUGGUCAUUCUUGGAUCUCAUUGUAUUUUCAAUUUGCAUUUCCCUGGUAAUUAGAGAUGUUGAGCAUAUUUUCAUGUUUGUUGGCCAUUUGGAUAACUUUUUCUGAGAAUUGUCUGUUCAUGUCCUUUGCCCACUUUUUAAGUUUAAUUUAAUACUAAUCCUACUAUUAUAUAUAUAUAUAUAAG